Molecule: small nuclear RNA, 106 nt
Organism: Arvicola amphibius (Eurasian water vole)
Lineage: Eukaryota; Metazoa; Chordata; Mammalia; Rodentia; Cricetidae
Source: RefSeq, a predicted model, not a curated record
GUUUGCUUCGGCAGCACGUAUAUACUAUAAUAGGAACGAUACAGCGAAGAUUAGCAUGGCAUGGUGCAAAGAUGACACGCAAAUUCGUGAAGCAUUCCAGAUUUAA